AUAAUAAUCUUAGUGGGUUCUUGUAACAGCAGGAAUGCUACUAUCCUCAUUUAUUGUUAUGAUCUUGUAAGUUCUUCCAGAUCUAAAGAUGCCCUCACUGCUUGAUGUGGCUGCCAUGAGUCCUUUGAACUUACUUAUCUUGUCGAACUGGAUAUACUUAAAAGUUUCAAUGCUCAAGGUUUGGCCUAAAAUAUUCUUGUGGCAAAUGUUGCUCGAAGUUACACUAAGUUUUUUAAUAAAGUGAAUGGCACACAAAAAAAUAGAUAAAAAGAAGCUAAGAAAUGUGAAAAAUAUCCAUUAGAGUUUCGAAAAUAAAAACGUAUAUAUUAUGUUGAAUAAUCUAAUAAGAUUGAGUUAAAGUUUAAGCCACUACAACUUUUUAUUGAUUCACCUCAAAAAAAAUUAUUAUUAACUCUAUAAUUUAUAGCUCCAUCUGCCUUCUGGUUUUAAAAUUGGAAAUCACUGGAUUACCUCAUCUUGGAGCAUUUGGUGGUCAUCGUAACUUAUUGUGUUAUAAAGUUUCUGGAUUAGCUCCAUCUGCCCCACUUUAGUAUUCUAAAGUGUGAUGAUUUUUGGUUUUAAGGCUUAUCAUAGGCUCCCCCACUUAGAAAAAAUUCUUAGGUAUUAACUAUUAGAAUAUCUCUCUCAUUUUUUCAGACAGUAGGAUUCAAAAUUUUCCACUCUGUCGAAUUAACCAUUUUAAGAAGAAAGGCAUAUCCAAUAAGGCAUUCACAAUUUCACAUACUUUCAAAUCUUCAUGUUGUGAUAGAUUUAAAGGAUUAAUAAUUUGAACAAGAAGGUUUGGACAAGGUAAAAUCUAUGAACCAGGUCCUUUUUCUUUCAAUAGCUUUUUGUUGACCUUCCAUGCAGAGCAAAAAGAACGAAUUGAGAAGGCAGAGGAGGAAGAACGUAAAAAAAAGGAGGAAGAAAUUAGGCUCAAAGAAGCU
Molecule: long non-coding RNA, 947 nt
Filed under: Phoenix dactylifera (date palm)
Lineage: Eukaryota; Viridiplantae; Streptophyta; Magnoliopsida; Arecales; Arecaceae
Description: long non-coding RNA (PDAC_LNC016855)
Source: RNAcentral